Hevea brasiliensis (rubber tree) is the source of this 1869-nucleotide RNA transcript. RefSeq lists it as uncharacterized. The record is from RefSeq and is a predicted model, not a curated record. The transcript is spliced from 5 exons. NCBI's taxonomy places the organism in Eukaryota, Viridiplantae, Streptophyta, Magnoliopsida, Malpighiales, Euphorbiaceae.
UCGAAAUAGUAAGCAGCCCAAGUCACUGGUCUGAACUCUGAACUCUGAAGCUGUUCUUGUUGCGGGAUCUUGCUUACUCUCUCGGCGCCUCCAUGACCAACUCCGAGCUCUUCCUCCUUUUGCUCACACUUCUCGGUCUUAUCCUCUUCUUAUCUGCAUCUCCAUCAUCGCCCAAUGAUCGAGAAGAGCUAGAGACCCCCAUCACUCGCUUUCAGCAAUACCUCAGAUUCAAAACCGCCCAUCCCGACCCCAACUACACUGCCCCCGUCUCUUUCCUCACCUCCCUUGCCCAAUCCAUUGGUCUCGUUACUCAAUCCUUAGAAUUCACUCCUAACAAGCCUGUCCUCCUCGUGACCUGGCCAGGCAAUAAACCAUCUCUCCCUUCAAUUCUCUUUAAUUCCCACCUUGACUCUGUCCCCGCUGAACCCGCUAAAUGGUUUCACCCGCCUUUCUCCGCCGUCCGUACACCUGACGGGAAAAUCUUCGCUCGCGGAGCACAGGACGACAAGUGUAUAGCUAUCCAGUAUAUAGAAGCCAUCCGCAACUUGAAAGCCAAAAACUUUAUCCCUACUCGCACAAUCCACAUUUCAUAUGUCCCCGACGAGGAGAUUGGUGGAAUUGAUGGGGCAGCCAAGUUUGUUAAUUCUAAGGAAUUUCGAGAUCUGAAUGUUGGUUUCGCUUUGGAUGAAGGGCAGGCCUCAGUGAAUGACGAGUUCAGAUUGUUCUUUGCCGAUAGGUCGCCGCAGAAUCUCAUAAUAAGGGCAAAAGGGGAACCUGGGCAUGGUUCGAGAAUGUACGAUAAUGGGGCAAUGGAGAAUUUAAUGAAGAGUGUAGAGAUUAUUAGUAGCUUUAGGGAAAGUCAGUUCGAUGUUGUUAAGGCUGGGAAAGCAGCCAAUUCGGAGGUUAUUUCAGUUAAUCCAGUUUACUUGAAAGCUGGGAUUCCUUCCCCUACUGGAUUUGUCAUGAAUAUGCGACCUUCAGAGGCAGAAGCAGGGUUUGAUCUUCGAUUGCCUCCUACAGCAGACCCAGAUCUUAUCAAGAAAAGAAUUGCAGAAGAGUGGGCACCCGCUAUACGUAACAUGACAUAUGAGAUAAUUGAGAAGGGACCCAUAAGAGAUCACAUGGGACGCCCGUUAAUGACAGCGGCAGAUGAUUCAAAUCCAUGGUGGGCAGUUUUCAGGCAAGCUAUUGCAGCAGCUGGGGGAAAACUUGCAAAGCCCGAAAUCUUGUCAUCAACCACUGAUGCACGGUUCAUAAGACAGUUGGGAAUUCCAGCUUUUGGUUUUUCUCCAAUGACAAAUACUCCCAUCUUAUUGCAUGACCAUAAUGAGUUCUUGAAGGAUACAGUAUUUUUGAAAGGAAUUGAGGUUUAUGAGCAUAUAAUUAGUUCUUUGAGUUCCUUUGAGGAGGUUCACUCAAUAUAGACACUCUCAGUUUGUGAUUAAUGAGAAGGAGAAUGUAUAAUGCACUGACUUCGACAUGGGGACACAAUACCGAUAUGGAUGGAAAAAUCGUCACCAAAUUUGCAGUUUCAUUUGGCUGUGCAUGCACACACGUACAAUGUAUGCUAGAAGAUAACCAUUAAAAAUAAGCCACAUGCACAGGAAAACGACUGGAGUGCUUCAAAUUAUGUCCUGCAAACCUCAAAUGCCUGUUGCUAGUUCUUUGUCUCUUCAAGCUAUGGGCAAAGGUUAGAGAUAGAUCUCAUGCCUCAAGUGUUAGCCAGGAACUGUGGAGAUAUAGUACUUAUGAGUUGUUUCUGUAAUUGGCCUUCUGUUUUGGCCCCUUGAUCUUCCCAUAUCAUCUUAUUUUCAACAUCAUUGUUGUACAUGUUUGACAAAAAAAUCCCGAAAAGGGGGAGUUUGGUGG